ACGCUGGCGGCGUGCCUAACACAUGCAAGUCGAACGGAGUUAAAGAGCUUCGGUUUUUUACUUAGUGGCGAACGGGUGAGUAACGCGUGAGCAACCUACCUUUCAGUGGGGGACAACAGUUGGAAACGACUGCUAAUACCGCAUGAUGUCAUCGGGGGACAUCCUCUGGUGACCAAAGCUUUAUGUGCUGAAAGAUGGCUUCGCGUCUGAUUAGCUAGAUGGCGGGGUAACGGCCCACCAUGGCGACGAUCAGUAGCCGGUCUGAGAGGAUGAACGGCCACAUUGGGACUGAGAUACGGCCCAGACUCCUACGGGAGGCAGCAGUGGGGAAUAUUGGGCAAUGGGGGAAACCCUGACCCAGCAACGCCGCGUGAAGGAAGAAGGCCUUCGGGUUGUAAACUUCUUUUAGCAGGGACGAAGGACGUGACGGUACCUGCAGAAAAAGCAACGGCUAACUACGUG
Molecule: ribosomal RNA, 462 nt
Filed under: uncultured bacterium
Lineage: Bacteria
Description: bacterial SSU rRNA
Rfam family: Bacterial small subunit ribosomal RNA
Source: RNAcentral